UACGUAGGGGGCAAGCGUUGUCCGGAUUGACUGGGCGUAAAGCGCACGCAGGCGGAUACGCGCGUGGGGUGUGAAAUCUGGCCGCUUAACGGCCAGGCGCCAUCCCAUACGGCGCGUCUGGAGUGAUGCAGAGGUCGAUGGAAUUGCCGGUGUAGUGGUGAAAUGCGUAGAGAUCGGCAGGAACACCCAGGGGGAAACCAGUCGACUGGGCAUCUACUGACGCUGAGGUGCGAGAGCGUGGGGAGCGAACCGG
This 253-nucleotide ribosomal RNA is filed under the name uncultured bacterium. RNAcentral's name for it is "partial 16S ribosomal RNA". It matches the Rfam family "Bacterial small subunit ribosomal RNA", at positions 524 to 776 of the family's 1533-position model. The record is from RNAcentral.